Gasterosteus aculeatus aculeatus (three-spined stickleback) is the source of this 717-nucleotide long non-coding RNA. NCBI's taxonomy places the organism in Eukaryota, Metazoa, Chordata, Actinopteri, Perciformes, Gasterosteidae. The record is from Ensembl.
CCCAGCGGCCCCUCGGCGGGAUAAUGGGCCCCCGCCGCCAACCGCCACUUACGCUCCAGUCCUCGUACCUGCAGUCGGACCGCUGAAGUGCUGCUCAGCAGAUGAGCCUUUGCGUGAUUCUUCUUUUUCACUUGGUCCUCCUCAAACGUUCUCCCUCAGCGUCCCACGGUCGAGCUAUUUGAGGAGGAGAUGCGUUCGCCUUGCCGGCGUCCUUCGACCGCUGACACAUUCGCUCGCCGUGAAAGGCGCUCUCCGCCUGCAGCACCUGCUCCACCUGCUCCACCUGCCCCCAGUCAAGAGAAAUAUCAGCUCCUCUGAGAGGCGGCGGGAGGCUUCCAUCGUCUCCGAGGCGCCGGCGACCCCGGGCCCGCCCCCUGACAGCACAGGCGGCGUCUGUUUGCGGGAGCUCUGACCCACGACCUGCAGAUUGCAGCUUUCUGGGAGCGAUGAUUUGCCGAUGGAGACGCGCUUUGACACCCCUCCCCCCGUCAGCCGGGAGGACAGACAGCCGCUGACAGACGGGGUCGACCCCGGCCGCUGAGAUGAUGCAGUCCUGGAGAGAUAAUUGGGGAGCAGGCGGGUCACGUUUGAUGGAAACACACUUUGCAAAUUUAUCUUGGGGCAGCAGCAGCGGAACGCCGUGUUUAGAGCUCUCUUUACUCGCUCGGCUGCGGCGGCUCUCAGCCGAGGCAGAACAAAUCCCCCCCGCUUUGAUCG